RNAcentral lists this long non-coding RNA (2945 nucleotides) under Daphnia magna. Its description in RNAcentral is "uncharacterized LOC123475521, transcript variant X2". The record is from RNAcentral. Lineage: Eukaryota; Metazoa; Arthropoda; Branchiopoda; Diplostraca; Daphniidae.
GAUGGUAAACGUUUUUCCGUGUUAAAUGAAAUCGACUGAUUCAAGCGCCUUCGAUCAUUACUGGAUACAAUGUUCGGAAACGACAAAAUGUUGUACAAUACGAGCGAGUCUUCCUUGAGUUGGGCUGACGAGAAUCGUACUGUUAACGCAUCCGAGUUGUACGAAUUACUCUAGGCUCGCCUACCUAAGGCUCAUCCACUUAAAGUCGGCGACUUAAUGAUUGCAAUUGAAUCUCUUGAUCUUCCUCUUUCUAGAGGACAUAAAAACCUGCGCAGAUUUGGACGUUUACCGGCAUGUUUUGGAUGUAAAUGGAUCCCAACUCAACUAUCAAAUACAAACAGAAACACUGGAAAACAUAUGGAAAGAAGAGACAACAAGAAAGAAAAAUAAUAAGUCAGGAAGGAAAAAGUAUAUGACCCCCCACCCGGGAAAUUGAAUGAAAUGGAGAACUGCAGCUAAUGCGACUAUUGUCAUGGAAAACUACGUCAGCAGUGCGUGCUGAGUUUGUCUUUAUUUUGCCCAUAAGGUAACUUUUGUAUUGAAUUAUGUCUAAUUUAUUUUAUAUUGUCAAAUGUAUUAUUAUUUUAUAUGUCAAGUUUUCUUUUGAUUUUAACUGCAUCUCAUUUAGCAGUAAUAAGGUUGAAACAUUAGAGGGAGUAGAGAAAAUUGACGUUAAACCGGUUUUAAAAAUGUCGAGCACGGAAUAAGCGAACGAUUUUACUUGACAGUUCGCUUGAAACGAUCUUUGAUUAUCUACUGUUAUGGACCUAAAUGUAUAAAAUACGUCUCGUUCGGGAAGUAUUGCAGUGAUCAGUGCGGGUUAAAAUUGGCCAUAACUCGUAGAUAGCAGGCUAACUUAUCCCAUUUGAAAGGUUUCGGGAAAAAAAGAUUUGAAGGUAAGUCCUGUCAAUAUUUUCCCGCAGCGCAUUCAAGAACGGGAUUUAACACCUUGCAUAGCUAUAGAAAACAAUAAGAAAUAAUUAAUAUCACAUUUAUAAGCAGCGAAACGAACCACGGGAAGUUCUGAUAGAGCUGGAUCUUAGUCAAAACGUUCCCUUUCAUCGUGGAGUUAAAUUAUUUUUAGUUUUUUUUUGUUUCCCAUUGGUGAUGUGUUACUUGGUAAAAGAAAACUCAUCAGGAAGUCAGGAACUGGGCAUAACUAUAGCAUAGGCUAACAAAUUAACGAUUCAUAGAAGUUGAGGAAGAAGCAAUGAGUUAGGUUAAUGACACUGAUGUGCGCGGAUAUCCUUAAGUACGGGAAGUCUUUGAAGAAACUGAUGACAGAAUUUGACUGCCAUGACACAGCGAGGUGUCCUUUUACGAGUUAGACUUCAGUCAACUUCCAACCAUGAAUUGAUGCAGUAGCAAUACUCCGGACACACUACUGAAAGAACACACACACGGCAGAGAUCAUUGCAACCAAUAAGAACGUCUUUAAAAUCACAUUUGUACAUAUACUAUUUCCCUCGUUAUCUGCUGUUUUAUGCGACUGCCAAUUAAUGCUCUGGUGUCACUUUUCCCAUGACUGAAGUUGAGCAAUUCCUUGUAACUCGCGUUGGUUGUAUAUUAGGAUAACAGAUGGCGCGACUGCGCCUCUGUCUUUGUUUUGUGUGUGACAAGUGAAACCACGUUUGAAUAUUUGUGAACUAUGUUACAUUCCAUUGAUAAGUUAGAUAAAAUUAAAUUGUGUGAUUGCAACUAUUGAGUGUUUCAUUCAUUCCUGUGUUUUUGGAGUGAGAAAAAUCAAGUGGGCUAUUUUGUGUGCAACGGGUAAACUUGUGAUCAGCUAUGCCAGCUGCCAGAUUCAAACUAUUACUUUUACAUUCCCAUCAUGCUAUUCUAUUUCACGUUGAGAGAAAAAGUUGAUGAAACCUAAAUAGCAAAAGAACUGUGAGGAAAGGCUAGAAAUGACACAAACCAUAUGAGUUGGAAAACCAUCAUGACAAUAACGUCUUUCUGCUACUCUUUACUCAUUCAUCAUGUCCUCUCAGUUUUGAUCUGAAAGUGCAAUUUCAACAAUCUUCUCGUCAUUUCUACUUAGCCUAUCAAGUGGCAGGAUUUUUAGUUGCAAGCUCAUGUAUCUAAAAUGAAAAGAAUGCUGGCCUCGAAGGAAGAUCUCCAACAAUGCAAAAUCCUUGAAUUGGAAUACCUCAAGUCUUUCUAUACUCUUUGCCCACUCAUCAUCUCAUGUAAUUUUUAAUCUGCCAACACAUCUCUUCGCCUUGCCCGUCACCCAGUCUUGGCUUCGCCCGUCGCUCCGUCUUGGCUUCGCCCGUCGCUCCGUCUUGGCUUCGCCCGUCGCUCCGUCUUGGCUUCGCCCGUCGCUCCGUCUUGGCUUCGCCCGUCGCUCCGUCUUGGCUUCGCCCGUCGCUCCGUCUUGGCUUCGCCCGUCGCUCCGUCUUGGCUUCGCCCGUCGCUCCGUCUUGGCUUCGCCCGUCACCCCAUCUUCACUUCACCCGUCGUCUCGUCUUCGCCUCUUGGUCACCCCCUCUUCACUUCACCGCCUCGUCUUUGUGGUAUCGUUGAAUUUAGUAAUGUGUAAUUGUGUAUUGUUAAUUAACCCGUUGGCUGCCACCCUCUUUGAUCCCCCUUUUUUUUAAAGCUUGUUAGGGUCCGGCAGCGCUGUUCUACUCAAUGGUCUAUAUGCCAUGGGUGGGACAGUUGCACAAGCCGUGUGGCUCAAAGUCGAUCGUCGAGGCAAUGUACCAGUAGGGACUUUCCCUUUUUCGAUGCUUUGAUAGUUGUCUGGAGUGUACAUUCUCACAAAGGCUUCUGUCAUCGUGUCAGCCCGGAUUUGUCGUAGGACAAGUCCCCCUUGGUCGCUAUCCAUUAGAUAGCGAUGUAGCUAGCGUAGAUUUAGUGGCGUGGCAGCCAACGGGUUAGUUUUAUUUAUGUAGGUUUUGUAUUGUGUUGUAUUGUAUUGCAAAAUGUAAAAAUUUGUGGUG